Molecule: RNA transcript, 3920 nt
Organism: Scatophagus argus
Lineage: Eukaryota; Metazoa; Chordata; Actinopteri; Scatophagidae
Gene: urp2
Gene name: urotensin II-related peptide
Exons: 8
Source: RefSeq, a predicted model, not a curated record
ACUUUGGAUGAAGAACCAACGGAUGAAUAAAUAGAAGAAAGAGAUAAAUAAAAGAAGAAGGAGGAGAAGUGGGGAUGUGUAAACACAGAGAGACAGACAGACUGGAGGUUUCUAGAACGGCAAAGAUGGAUGAGCUGGAAGAAAGAAGAAAGAAGGAAAUGCUUCUUUUUUAUUUCCCUUAAACUCCCUCACUUCCUGUCGCUCUCCCGUCUCACACACACACACACAUGCUGCAGACAGACAGUGAGCAGUAAUGAAUGAGUGGAUGUUCUUAAGUUAAAUUCUCUUCACCCAGCAACAAACACACACACACACACCUCAUAUCAUUCUUACUCUUUGCAGUGUUUAGUAUUUUCCUCUGUUCCAAAUUCAUUCAUCCUUUUCCUCCAUCACAUGUAUUGGGGCAGUUUUUGUGGUGGUUAUUGGCGAGAUGACAUCACUCUGUCAACUUCCUGUCUGAGGGAUUAGUCGUCACAGUGCAGGACAAAGGAGAAGGCAAAAACCUUCUCUUGGUCUUUUGUCAUUUGGACAUGACUUCUCAGCCUUUCUGUGCCCUUUGAUGUGCAUCCCACGCUUCUUUUUACCGUCUGUGUGUGUCUUCCAGCCUUUCUCCCAAGUCCAAACUGACCUCAGGAUUUUCUGUGUGUGUGUGUACAUGGGUUUGCCAUGUCGUUUUCUGUGUUUAAAUGUUGUAUUUGCGAGCUUUGUGUGUGUGUGUGUGUGUGUGUGUGCACAGUCAGUGUGGCUCCAGGCCCUCAUGCGUCAGAGGGCCUUUCUCUUUCUAUGGCCCCUGAGCAAACAUAUUAAGAACUACCUUAUCACUGCUUAUACAGCCAGGGCCACACACACGUUAAAUGCAAUCCUAAACACACACCACAUUCACAAAAAGAUAGCUUUGACUCCAAACACACAAAGCUCGCCGCCAAAUUUCCCAAAUGUCACCGAUCCAUCGAGGUGGAAGAGGUGGACCUAGAGAGCCUCCUUCAGUCAUUGGUCGAACCUGAGCCAUCAGUCCAGCUUGGGUUUAUAAAGGCAAGAUUGGUCAGAUCAGUUAGGAAAAGGAAGACAUCCAACACACUGCUGACAAGCCUUCUUCAAGAGGCGCAUCCAUGGAAAAUGAACAGAGAGACUAACUUUGUUAUAUAGAUAAAAAGAAAGAUAUUUAACUGCAAAGAGUGGAGCUAAUGUAGACGAAUACCAAAAUACGGUUGAUAUCCAGGAGAACAGCUUUGAAGCCUCUUGACCUAUCACCGCUGAAGAGGUUGUCCAGUGUUUUAGAAUCAGCAGAGGACAAGCAACUGAAAGAAUUUUGAACAUUAUCUAAAAGAAGCUGUCUGAUCUGAGAUCAACAGACCAACUUUAAAGUCAUCCCAGCUCAUGUCUGCACCAUCUGCAACAUCAGCAGCUUCAACAAAAAGUCGGAAGGAUGAGUUGAGCAGAAGAAGAAACAACAUCCUUUGAGAACCUGUAGAACAGAAGUCUUCUUCUAACAAAAUCAACACAACUUCCUGUUAGUGAUAAGACAUAAAUAAAUUUCUUUUCUUUUCAAGCUCCAUGCUUAAUAGUGCAGCACCAGUGUCUGAGAUGAAGGUAACCGUGUUGAUGCUGAUGAUUCUUUGGACGGGAGUGGAGGCAGCACCCACCGAGAGAGGCUUUGUGAAACCUCCACAUCAUCUUCCCAGUCUCACUCAAGCAGUAGUUGUACCAGAGAAGGCUUUAGCACUAAAUCCAAGCCAAUACCUGAAACACUGGCUUCUCAAUACCAAAGCAGCUGGACUGGAUGGGUCAACAAGAAUCACUGACAGAACCACCACGGGGACGAUCAUUGCAGGCACCAGGGCAGGACGACUGAGCACCAACUCUGGUACAGCCGGUCCAGAUAAACGAGCCCAGAUGCUGAAGAUGAUCUCGGCGCUGGAGGAACUGCACAGGACAUUUAACAGCACGCUGAGCUCACGGAUCACCAUCCUGCCAAGAGCAAAUGGCAGAAAUUCAGGAAGAAAAAAUAAAGUGCUUCUUGCUGUCGAGGGGGGGUUGAAGCCCACUACUGUGGCCCCAGCAGCAGUCAACAGCACUGUAUCCAGAGCAAGUGCAGAUGUCAUGGUUCCCAGUCUGACGGGUCGAAACUUCAAGAAGUCCCUCCCACCUCAGACCAGGAAGACCAACAAAAGAGUGUGUUUCUGGAAGUACUGCUCCCAGAACUGAUCAUCUCUCAGUCAGUGUUGAGCUUUCCACCGCUGGUCUCCCUCCACACUCUCCCAGCCUUUCUGUCUCCUCCCUCCAUCUGCUCCAUCACUAUCCAUCCAUCCAUCCAUCCAUCCAUCCGUUCAUCCAUCCAUCCAGAAAAAUGGCUAUUUAGAGAUACACUAUAGGCGAACAGGAUCUCCCUCUCAGCGGGGCAGGUGCUGGUGAAUUCCUCUCUCUGAUAGGCGCAGUUUAAAUACCUCCACACCCCUGCCAUCUCUGCUGGGAUCUCAAAGUCACGGUAUUUCUUGGCUACAACCUGCAAACGGAAGAAUGCAAGUGGGCGUGAGCUGACAGAAGUUGAAAAUCAGGCUGGACGAACCUUAAGGAUGUGUAGUUUAGGCAGCAGGUUGCAGUCGGCCAGGGUGAGCUCAGACCCGUCCAGGAAGCUCCUGGAGGACUCGGGCACGUCUCCUGACGCGUCAGCAUCGAUCUCCUCAGGCAGCGGAGUCCUGAGGAAGUCAUCCAGACGCCGCAGAGACUUCAGCAAGGCUUUUUCUAAGGCUGUAGAGUUUGUCCUCCAGGAACUCCUCUAUCUUGUUGACAUCCACCUUGACCUCACCAUUAAAGGUCACGAAAGGAGGGUUGGUUCCUGGAGCGAGGUCCUGCAGGUCAGCCGGCUUCCUGAAAGCACAAAACAAAGUGUCUGCAAUAAGGAUGAAGAUGAUAUCACUGUCAGCAAUUCAGAACAAAUAUUUCAUGUAGGUUUGCUUUCUCCUAAAGUCAUUGAAGCAGAAUUAUAGGCAUUAUGACAUCCUUCCUGUUAUUCAGGACUGUUGUUUAACUGUUGUUACAUACACAGGGAAUGAAAGCUGCUCACUAAAUGUUCUCUCCUCAGGACAAAAUGAAUACAAGUGGGAAAACAAGGAUUAAGUAUGUAGUAUAGAAUUGUGUUCAGGUCUGAAUAGGUGUGUGCAGCAGGCGAUAUUACCGUUUGAGGUCGACGGUGGUGACGUUGAAGAUGACGCCUUUAAGCCAGAGGAUCAUAAAGAGUCUCUGAGAGAAUGGGCAGUUACCAAUGCUCUCCCCAUCACUUCCUGCCUAUACAAACACACACACAUGCAUAUACAUACAAGACACAUUCGCAAAAGUGUGGGAUUAAAUACAAACUCACAACAUCAUUUCCAACAACAAUACAUAUGCUAAUAUAUUCAUGAGAUUUUCUCUGCACUCCCAAAAUGCAUGAAACAUUUUAAACUAAAAGCAAAAUCUGGUGAGUCAGUUAAUUCUCCCACUGGUGUUGUGUCGUCAGAGAGUGAGUGAGGGAUCCAUCAGGACUUAAAACAACACUGAAACCCUGAAAUAAAUUCAGUGCAAGAAGGAAAACAGUCUUUAUUUGUGAUAUUAGCUGAAUAAGCAGCAAGGGAAUAAGUGCAGCCACAGAAACAAGGCUGAGCUUUUCAACAGUGUCCAAUGGUCUUCAGUGUUGUGCUGAUUUGCCAUGGUGUUUGUUAAGGUGCGAUCAUGUCAACGAGGUGUCACGUGACCCAGAGGUCACCAAAUGUGUUUUUAUUUUCAAAAUGUUCUGUGAACACCAGAUCAAAACCACUGAGAGCAUCCAGUGGGAGGGUCAAAGAUCAUCAAGGGGACAACUGGAGAAAGAUGAAGGAUUAGGAAAUGCUUGUCUGAUGCUCGAGACCAUCUUUCAGCAGAGGCAGGAGUGAGUAUUUCCCCAC